RNAcentral lists this long non-coding RNA (1424 nucleotides) under Brassica rapa (field mustard). RNAcentral's name for it is "long non-coding RNA (BRAP_LNC003623)". Lineage: Eukaryota; Viridiplantae; Streptophyta; Magnoliopsida; Brassicales; Brassicaceae. The record is from RNAcentral.
AAUAUUGCAUUCCACAUCUAAGGUUCCUUCUUACAGAUAUACAUUAUGCAAUAUCCUAGCUUAGCAACCAAAAUCAUCUAGCCAACAAUCUUAACUAAUCUUAUUAUCAAUCUCCUCAACCAACCUCAUUUUUUAAUGUAAAAAGUGUAGGCUUUACCUUGGGAGUAUCGAUCACAGGAUGCAAGAAUUUCAGACAAGUAUUUGGAGCUGCAGGUAAAAGUUAGUUUCUAGUUUCUCUCUCUCUAAAUUUCUCUCUUGGGUCAAAGUCUGCUUCCAUUGCAGGAUCAGUGACCAAGAUUGGACAGGCUUCCAUGAAUCAAAACUUAAUGGUGGUUGCCACCAAGUUCUGUUCACUUCUUUUUGACCUAUAUCCAAGAGUUCUUUGCGAAAGCAAGCUUUGAAGAUUGCCGCCUCCAAGUCCUGUUUCGAACUCUUUUGUUUGAGUCUUUAUGAAUCAAGCCUUAAUGGUUUUAGCCACCAAGUCCUGUUCAGACUCAUCCUAAUUAAACAAUAGAUCUUUUUUUUUUUUUUUUUUUUUUUACUCACUAACUAAUCUAGGGUCAAAAUUUAGAGAGAGAAAAUGUGAUAAAUAAUCUAAACCAGACGUUACCUUCCAGACUUGACUGAAAAAUCCGAUCCCAUGUAUACCAAGCCCCAAAACAAGCAGUGAAGUCAGGUUAGUGUUGGAGGUUAGCUUCGGUUCUUUCUAACAAGCUAGCAAGUGUGCAUAGUUGACUGGUUGAUCCACUUUAGCAUCUAUAGUAUUAUCUGCAGUCAGUAAAUCUAGAAUGGUGCUAGAAAGUGGUUAGACAUUCAAGUAGAAAUCAUUAGUUCAUAAUCCCCUUCUUGACUCAAUAAAAUUAUUUUUGAAAAGAUUUUUGACAAAAAAACUCAAGAAAAUGGUGUUAGUAACUACCUCCCCCAGACUUAAAAUGCACCGUCUCGGUGCAAAGUGUCCAAGGGUAGGUUAAAAUCAAGUUAGAUGUUUGAGAAUGUUAGAGUAAGAAUGAAGUACCUAUUUGUACUACACAUCGAUCGAUAUAAUCCUCUCCAUAUCGAUCGAUGUUACUCGCCCAGAAUCGAUCAAUGUAAUCCUCUCCAUAUCGAUCGAUGGCGAAGCACAGACAUUUUCGCAUGUGCUUGGAGUCAAACUCGAAGUUCCUUGCCUAAUGUUAGCUCUGUUAGACAAUCAAGCAUAAGAAAUAAUAAGCAUCCUCAAACAUAAAAUAUAAGUUUAAAAACAUAAAUCCUACAAAUUCGGAAAAUAAAUAAACAAGUUCAUAAUAAGAAGAGAAGAGAUAGAGAUGGGAGGACUAAUCGGUGUCCUCAUUAGUCGCCUCAUCGUCAUCUGGGGAUGGGUCCCUGCGUGCUGCUGGUGCUGGUGCCUGCGCUCCUGUGGCUCUCCUGCUCCGACAAGACACUCU